Molecule: ribosomal RNA, 471 nt
Filed under: Triticum aestivum (bread wheat)
Lineage: Eukaryota; Viridiplantae; Streptophyta; Magnoliopsida; Poales; Poaceae
Description: partial small subunit ribosomal RNA
Source: RNAcentral
AUGCUGCGCCGCCGCUGCCUGGUUCCAGAGGACCAACGACGCAUCCAUCCCCAAGUGCCCCUGGCCAUGGCGGCCGUCGUUCAUGUCCACCUCCACUACCAUUACCUCCCCCCUCCUCCGUCCGUCGCCUCGCUCACCCGGCCUCUUCACCUUGCCAUGGCGCUCCCCACACCCUGCGCUCCUGCCUGCCCGCCUGCACCUGCCCCCUCGCCGCCACCAGCACAGAUGAGCGGGAGGCAAAUGAGGAGUUUGUGGUGGCCACAUACAAGCUGGUGCCCGUCGACGACCCCCGCGCACAACUCCACUUCUCCCUUGGGCCAUUUAGUUUCAGUUCAGUUCACUAGAUUUGGGAUAUCUGAUGAAAGACAUGAUUUCUUUUACACAUUGCAUCUCUCCUAUACCAGGUUAGGAAGAUUACUUGGAUGCUUUUCAGGCUUCUCCAGCAUUGACCGGGCAUGCUCUCCAGUAUGA